AUAGCUAAGACAGGAUAAUUGAAGUUGUCGCUCGGUGGCCUGGAUCGACACACGAUUCACGCAUAUUGACCAACAGCGGUCUCUACCAGUUGUUCGACCGUUAUGUUGUCCCCAUCGGAUGCCACCUUCUCGGCGACAGAGGUUACCCCUGUAAGAAGUGGCUACUAACCCCUUUCCUAAGACCAUUGGCAGGACCACAAACAAACUACAACAGAUCGCAUAAAAGAACAAGGAGCAGUGUUGAAAGGUCCAUUGGCCAAUUCAAGCGCAGAUUUCCUGUUCUUCAUGGGGAAAUCAGGUUAAAACCUGAGAAGGCUUGCAAGGUGAUCAUAGCAUGUGCUGUCCUUCACAACAUAUGCAAGGAUAGAAACAUUCCAUUACCACCCACAGAUGGGCAUGAUGGAGUUGGAAGGCAUGAUGGGCAGAAUGGAGGUCUACCAGGAAUCACUACACCAGUGGCUGUACUGAGAUAUAGAGAGCACUUCGCCAAUACAAACUUUCCAUAGCUUCCACUGUGUGGCAUCUUGGAGCAUCUGGAUGGACUGCUGGCUCCUCAGGACCCAUUCUGGCUCCCUCUGGCUGUGGAUGGGGGU
This 593-nucleotide long non-coding RNA is filed under the name Haliotis rubra (blacklip abalone). RNAcentral's name for it is "uncharacterized LOC124259950". Lineage: Eukaryota; Metazoa; Mollusca; Gastropoda; Lepetellida; Haliotidae. The record is from RNAcentral.